This 84-nucleotide microRNA precursor is filed under the name Bombyx mori (domestic silkworm). Its description in RNAcentral is "mir-2807 microRNA precursor family". It matches the Rfam family "mir-2807 microRNA precursor family". Lineage: Eukaryota; Metazoa; Arthropoda; Insecta; Lepidoptera; Bombycidae. The record is from Rfam by way of RNAcentral.
UUAACUCAAAUUUGUAUGGAGUUGGAACGUUUGCCUACGUUUGCCGUUAGGGGCGCUGUUCCAACUGCAUACAAAUUUGAGUGA